CAGAACGAGGAGCAGUGAAUGCUGAGGCAGGCUUUGCACACUCUUGGCAUUCUCUCAAUCAGCUUCAUGAGGUCAUCACCUGGAAAUGAGUUUUAAUUAACAGGAAAACACAAGUUGCACACAAAAGUCACCACACGACUGCUGGAUAAAUCAUCAAAAUGGGG
Molecule: long non-coding RNA, 164 nt
Organism: Larimichthys crocea (large yellow croaker)
Lineage: Eukaryota; Metazoa; Chordata; Actinopteri; Sciaenidae
Exons: 3
Source: RefSeq, a predicted model, not a curated record